GAUGAACGCUGGCGGCGUGCCUAAUACAUGCCAGUCGAGCGAACAGAUGAGGAGCUUGCUCCUCUGACGUUAGCGGCGGACGGGUGAGUAACACGUGGAUAACCUACCUAUAAGACUGGGAUAACUUCGGGAAACCGGAGCUAAUACCGGAUAAUAUAUUGAACCGCAUGGUUCAAUAGUGAAAGACGGUUUUGCUGUCACUUAUAGAUGGAUCCGCGCCGCAUUAGCUAGUUGGUAAGGUAACGGCUUACCAAGGCAACGAUGCGUAGCCGACCUGGGAGGGGGAUCGGCCACACUGGAACUGGGACACGGUCCAGACUCCUACGGGAGGCAGCAGUAGGGAAUCUUCCGCAAUGGGCGAAAGCCUGACGGAGCAACGCCGCGUGAGUGAUGAAGGUCUUCGGAUCGUAAAACUCUGUUAUGAGGGAAGAACAAAUGUGUAAGUAACUAUGCACGUCUUGACGGUACCUAAUCAGAAAGCCACGGCUAACUACGUG
Molecule: ribosomal RNA, 497 nt
Filed under: uncultured bacterium
Lineage: Bacteria
Description: partial 16S ribosomal RNA
Rfam family: Bacterial small subunit ribosomal RNA
Source: RNAcentral